UCUGUAGCUCAGUGGAUAGAGCAAUGGCCUCCGGAGCCGUGUGCGCAGGUUCGAUUCCUGUCAGACG
This 67-nucleotide transfer RNA is filed under the name chicken gut metagenome. It matches the Rfam family "tRNA". Rfam says of the family: Transfer RNA (tRNA) molecules are approximately 80 nucleotides in length. Their secondary structure includes four short double-helical elements and three loops (D, anti-codon, and T loops). The record is from RNAcentral.